Molecule: ribosomal RNA, 288 nt
Filed under: uncultured bacterium
Lineage: Bacteria
Description: partial 16S ribosomal RNA
Rfam family: Bacterial small subunit ribosomal RNA
Source: RNAcentral
ACCUACGGGAGGCAGCAGUGGGGAAUAUUGCCCAAUGGGGGAAACCCUGAUGCAGCGACGCCGCGUGAGUGAAGAAGUAUUUCGGUAUGUAAAGCUCUAUCAGCAGGGAAGAAGAGAGACGGCACCUGACUAAGAAGCCCCGGCUAACUACGUGCCAGCAGCCGCGGUAAUACGUAGGGGGCAAGCGUUAUCCGGAUUUACUGGGUGUAAAGGGAGCGUAGACGGAGAAGCAAGUCUGAAGUGAAAGCCCGUGGCUUAACCACGGGACUGCUUUGGAAACUGUUUGAC